AAUAAAAUGGCUGAAAAUUAGGCGAUAAAUUGUAAAUUUAUUUAUGAAAAUUAUUUUUUCUUUUAUU
RNAcentral lists this transfer RNA (67 nucleotides) under Fenusa (Kaliofenusa) sp. 3 GYN-2022b. RNAcentral describes it as "tRNA-Tyr". The record is from RNAcentral. Lineage: Eukaryota; Metazoa; Arthropoda; Insecta; Hymenoptera; Tenthredinidae.